Molecule: ribosomal RNA, 278 nt
Filed under: Salmonella enterica subsp. enterica serovar Typhimurium str. LT2-4_delta.ramA::kan
Lineage: Bacteria; Pseudomonadati; Pseudomonadota; Gammaproteobacteria; Enterobacterales; Enterobacteriaceae
Description: partial 23S ribosomal RNA
Rfam family: Bacterial large subunit ribosomal RNA
Source: RNAcentral
CUGGAGAACUGAGGGGGCUGCUCCUAGUACGAGAGGACCGGAGUGGACGCAUCACUGGUGUUCGGGUUGUCAUGCCAAUGGCACUGCCCGGUAGCUAAAUGCGGAAGAGAUAAGUGCUGAAAGCAUCUAAGCACGAAACUUGCCCCGAGAUGAGUUCUCCCUGAGACUUAGAGUCUCCUGAAGGAACGUUGAAGACGACGACGUUGAUAGGCCGGGUGUGUAAGCGCAGCGAUGCGUUGAGCUAACCGGUACUAAUGAACCGUGAGGCUUAACCUUAC